Long non-coding RNA from Coccinella septempunctata (seven-spotted ladybird), 1087 nucleotides. RefSeq lists it as uncharacterized. The record is from RefSeq and is a predicted model, not a curated record. The transcript is spliced from 2 exons. Lineage: Eukaryota; Metazoa; Arthropoda; Insecta; Coleoptera; Coccinellidae.
UAAGAACUGUUAGCUUUGAAGUACUUGUGAUUUUUUUAUUUCUUGUAUGAAAAUAGGUACUCAUAAGUGUUCUCUAUUUCACAGAUAUCGAUCAUGAGAAUAGGUUACCGCCAGAAGCUGUGGGUACUGCAGAACUCAUCCUUUCAAUAGACAAGCUAUUGGAUAGUCUUAACAGCAAUACUAAAUUGGCUCCGAGUGGCAAACCAUUGAAAGGAGGUGUGACUAAUGGAUCGUGUCACCAAGAGUUCUGGAGGAAUUCUAUUACAUGCCUGAAGAGCAUGAAAUAUUUUUCAAAUGAAAAGAACUGCCUGGUUUCAGUGCCCUCCUUGAAACAUUUAAUUUUCACAGUAAGAGGAUUCAUGAGGGUUACGAAAAAUCUGUUGUCGAAACAUAAAUUCAAUUAUGUUUUGACAAGAGCAUUGAAUCAAAACCCUCUUGAAAAUUGUUUUGGAGCAAUUAGAAGCCAUGGAGGCAGGCAUGCUUCUCCAGAUGCCUCCUAUUUCGAAAGCUCCUUUAAAGCCUUACUGGUCAAUAAUUUUUUGUCACACCAUUGUCUGAAUGCAAAUUGUGAGUGAUUUUUCAGAAGGCGCUCUUAAUAAUUUGAGCGAAUUCCUGAUUGGGAAUAUGGAAGGUGAGGCUGGACCCUCCAGGGAGACACCUCCUAUUCCUACUCUCCCACUAAAUGUAUCUCUGACUCGAAAGUCGAGAGUAGCAGAGAACAUAUUGAUGUACAUGAGCGGAUAUUUCGCGAAACGCCUCUCGAAAACUUUGACAUGUUCUGACUGUAAACAACUUUUACUAUCAAACCAUGAGCUUGUUCAAAAUACAGAUUUCAUCGAGGCUAGAAAAUAUAGAGCAGAUUCAAAAAUGGUGGUACCAGGUAGUUUUUUUCAUCAUCUAGUGUUUUUCACGUUUGUAUUAUCUUAUUCCACGCUUAUGCCACUUUGAGAAUGUAGGAGGCCAGUUCACUGUCAGUUACAUUCUGACUCAGGAACUGCUGCCUGUAAUUUAUUUGUAAAAUGUAGUUUGUAUUUUUGGUGUAAACGUGUUAAUGCAAUUGUGAAGGGCAACAUACAAAAUAAAUAAA